GUGGAGCUCAGCAGGGAUGGGGCGGGGGCGGGGACGGGAGUUCCGCCCCAAACCCUAAGACCCGCCUCCACCAGGACCCGCCCACCUGCCCUCAAAAGGGACCCACCUCCCGCGGGACGCCAGGUGCCGCCCGCCAUCCACUCUCAGCUUCGGCCGUCAGGACCCCGCCCACAAGCCAACUACAAGCCUCCCGCCGGACUUCCCGGGAGCCUCGCCCGGGUUCUCACCUUUGCUGCGCAGAGCGGGCGUAGCCCUGAAAGUAGCGGAAGCGUGCGUACAGGUUACUUCUCUCAGAGUUUGUGUCCCUCGACAUUGAUAUCAAGGUGGACCCUUGCCACGUUUUCUGACCUUGCCACGCUGCUUUCUGCUUUGGGUGUUGGACCUCUGUUGACUUGGCUUUUUCAGCGCUCCUCCCCUCCUGGUAACAGCAACCCCCUCUUUUGGGGAGCAGCCUUUUCCAUGCCACGGGGUGGUGAACAGCUCUUCCCCAGAGCUUUGCCUGGAUCCCCUCCAGCCCUGGCCUCAGCUAAGUGUCUCCUCAGCUAAGUGUCUUGCCCUGCCCGCCCCAUCUAAGUCUCUCAGGCCUCACCUCCCCCGCUGCCCCGGCCACCCAAACACCCCACUAUCUUACACUUUCGUUUCUUCCUGACACCUGCCAUUCUGAAAUCAUCUGUCACCUGUCUAUGACAGACAUGCCCUUCACCUGAGACUGAAGCUCCACGGGGCAGGGCCCUGCUCGCCUACACUGCUGCUACGUUGCCUGCUCCCAGCAUGAUGCCUGGCCAUAGCAGCUGCUCCACAAACACGGGCAGAGGGAGCGGUGUCUCACUGAGCCUGCCGCCAUCACCACAGGAGUCUGGUUUGUGACUCUUGACAGAUACUGGAUAAUGACCAAGUGGCAGAGAUCACAACACUCCUGAGGUCUGGCUUGUUCAACACGGAUAGGGAUAGAGUAGGCACAGGUGGGUGUGGAAGUCCCCACAGGGGAUCCUAGAUAAAGAGGGAAACCUGGGGGUUGUUGGGAGGCUGCUGUAAGUUCAAGAAAACAGGCAGAACAAGGCAGGCUUGCUUAACUAGGGGAGGUGCGAGAAUUGCCUCAGGUCAUUGGAUGAGGGAUGGGAUGAGGCCUGCAUUCAGAUGCAGACCAAGGGUAAGAGUUUGAGGACCACCCUUCAGCUGAUUCAAAUAAACACCUUACCGGAUACUAAGGAGGAGCUACUACUCCCAGAAAGGAAGAGGCGGGCCUUUCCAAACCCCCACGCCUCUUGGAUGCUCAAAUUGUGGUCUGGCCGCACUGGUGUCCUGGGCUCUCCUGGCUCUGCUGGAGAAGGAGAGCGAGGAGCCCAAGGUGAACCCCGACCUGCUGGCCUGCCUGGACCCCCUGGCGAGCAUUGUGGACUGGGUGCUGCUGGGGAGCCUGGCAGAGCUGGAGAGCAAGAUGUUCCUGGCCCUCCCAGUACUGUUGGUCCUGCUGGCAUAGACGGAGAAGCUGGAGCUCAGCCACCGCCCCCCCCACCCCGGACGUGCUCACCUCACUGCAAGCUCCUGGACCCUCGGGAGCAAGAGGUGAGAGAGGAUUCCCCAGCGAGCACGGUGAGCCUGAUCCCCCCGCCCUGCUGGCUUCACUGGCCAACCUGGUGCUCAAGGCAAACCUGCCGAUGCUGGUCCCCCGGCCCCACUAGGAACACUGGUGCUCCUGGACCCAAAGGUGCUCCUGGAAGCGCUGGUCUUCCUGGUGCUACUGGUUUCCGUACAUAUGCUGUUUAACCUCUAGGGUGGCUAGGGAAAAUCAUCUUAACCAGAGUCACCUUGGCUUACGGCCUUCCCAGCAGGAAAGGGACAGUUAGCCAGGUGUUUUCCUCUUUCUCUAGGCAGGCCUGGGCCCUGUCGCAGCAGGAAGUCGUUACUGGAUGGUCGUCUGGCCCAGUAUCCCCUUUAAGCAUAAAGGGGGCAAACACCUGGAGGGGGACAGGAUAGGGGAGGAGUAGGCACAGGCAUAAAGAACCUGAACCUCAGUGAGACCAGACAUGGGGUUUCCUCGCUGAAAGCUGCUUUCCUGCCCUUCUUGGAGCUCCAGCUUCUCCAGGUCUGACCAACUUCCAAGCUAUGGCUAAGGUGAGAGGUCUCUGAAAAAACUUGCCUUCCAGGUUCCUGGUGUGGCUUCUACCACCAUCAUCUCACGUCCCUCAUGGUGUGACAUUGACGGGAAUGGGUGAGUGAAUCUGUCAGAGCACUUGUACUUACAAUAUAAAAGGAAAAGUCAAACAUUUGAAUUGCUAAUUAGGACCUAAAGUAUCCCUGAGUGUUACCUGGUCCAACAUCCCUCACUUUAGAUGUAAGGACAUGGAUGCGCCAGAGAGGGGAGACUGGUGGCACUGCUAGUUUCCUAUCAUCAAAAAACAGAAGGUAAUCUGAGGGAAAGCAAACCAAACACUCCGGCCCACACCCAUGUGCAUCAAGAAAAAAGCUACAUCGCAAAAGGAAACCAACUUCCAAACAAAGCAAUUGUGUCCUGGUCCACCUCCUACCUUUGCUGGCACAGCCAUGUGAAGUGAAAUACACGGGCAGUUUCUGUACUAGCAAAAUACUUUUAUUAUUUUAUAUGAUAAAACAAGGAAAGUAAAGAUUUCUUUUUGGUGUAUACCAGAGUUAAGGGAAGUAGAAAAUUAAGGGGAUUAAUAGGACUUUUAGGUACUUUGAUGACAGUAAAAAGUUAACAAUACCAACUGUUUGCCAUAAAACUUAUCAUAGCUCCCCCAAAACAUAUAUAUAAAGGAUCAUAGUUUUAAAAUCUAUAAAAGUAAAAAAUAUACAGUCAGAAACUCUAACACUUAUUCCAUCUUUAAUAAAAAAUUGUAAACAUUUAUUUACACAAAGCAAAUGUGUAUAACAAAAGUCCGAGCACCCUUUUCUUUUGAGUCAUGGCUCCUGGAAGAUGGGGAUUUGCACUGAAGUGGAGUUGUCUCCUUCCCUGACUACCCAAAAACCAGAUUCAUAAAUAAAAGCCAUGGGCAGCUCCCUGGGGAGACCCUAAGCAUCACAUUUUAUUGCUCUGACACUGAAGCAAGUGAGAAGCCUGCUGUCUGUCUAGGCAGCCCUAGGGCUAAGGCAGAGGCAGCCCUCCCCAGAAGGGGGAGGCAGAGGCGUGAGCGCCUGCCGGGGGACAGAGGUGAGCAGCAGCCAGAGAGAGAUCAGGAGAGGAACAAGGACCCACCACCAGCCUUCAGCCCGCUAUUUUUGGUAGAAAACCCGCUGAAGUCACCCUCUUCCCCUUUAGAUUGGGGAACUCACUCAGAGGGUGGAGUCUUCACUGGCUUUAUGAUUCAUUCCCUUCUUUGAGAGCUAAAUUCAGCAUCUGGGGAAGGCAAGGAAGUGUUUAAAGGGGAAAUGGCCCAAACACCAUCCAUGGUGCCAAAUGGCUAUUAGAGAAGAGGAUCUGAGGGUCCACGUACCCCCAUGAAAGGCACUGCUGGUGCAAAAUAAUUACCAAUGUAUGUACAACCCUUCAUCCCCUCAAAGCCACUCAAACUGGUUGUGUGACUAUUUUCCUUGGCUCAACUCCUUACAUACGAUACUCCUUGAAUUACUCUUUCUGAGGCUCCAGGGAAACAAAAAUGGGGAUGUGGUUUCUCCAUAGACCACUCUGCACACAAGCCACUCUUUUCAGUGUACUAUUUUUUCUCCAACACUGUUUAAAAGGGUCUCACCCUGCGCUUUCCAUAAGUUGAAGUGCUCUCUAUUUGUUUUCCACAGUCACAGGUAAUACUGUUUUGUGGACUCUUAGCUUAGUCAAGUCCAUUACUUUGUAGACUUAUAAAAGAGAAAUCCACUAGAAUCUUUAGAAAGGAUGUAUUAGUGUUAUAAAGCAAUUCUCUUUAAAAAGUGCAAGUCAUCUGAUGAGGGAGUGGCAGAAGUAGUAAAACAAAGUGGCACUCCUUCCUCUGGCCGGGCCCGCCCACUCCCUGCCAAACAGGGCAAGCUUCUUUUUCUCCUUCCCCCAAACCUUUGCGUUGCGGGGAGGGGAUACCUCCCCCUCCUUACAAUGCUAGGAUUCCCUAGGGAAUUCUAACAACUCAUUCUCUUCCCCUAAAUCUAGUAGAUCAGUGCCUUAAGGAGGUUUUCCAUUUGGGCCAGAGAGAAAAAGAAGGGAAGGCAGAUGGGAACUAAAGACAGUGUGAAUGAAGGAAAGACAUCUGUGCAUAACUCAAUAAUGAUCACUUUCCUAACAGGUUAAACAUGAGUUUUUGGGGAAACUGCAAAAGGUAGGAAGUUACAACAAAAGACACAGGAACCCCAAUUAUUCCAUUUCAGCAUUUAGCCUGGGGAUUGCCUGGGGUCUGGCUACCAAGGUGUAGGAGGAGGAUUCCGCGGCCUAGGUCCUCCUAAAUGCCAACCUGGGAGAACAGCAUUCUGGGAGGAGGAGCUGAGGGACAGACCACAUCUGUGUCACUAGCUCUGCUGUUUCACGGCAUCCUGUUUCUUUUUGGCACAUGCAAUUAGAGCCUGCACUUAAUGGAAAUGAUUUUCCAGUGAGCCUCCCCUUCCCCUGAAAGCUGACAAAGAACAGGAAUAAAAAAGGCUCUUAAUCAAAAAAACCCCAGGUUUCCAAUGCCACAUAAUCAAUUUAAACCAUCACCUAUUCUAAUCUGUUUUAAAAUCUUAAAAAUUAAAAAAAAAAAAAA
Sus scrofa (pig) is the source of this 4682-nucleotide non-coding RNA. Lineage: Eukaryota; Metazoa; Chordata; Mammalia; Artiodactyla; Suidae. The record is from RefSeq and is a predicted model, not a curated record.